CUUUGGCUCACAAUUUUAGCUUGCAGAUCAUCACAGCAAGAGUCAAUAUGGCAGGAACUUAAAAUAAUGACUCACUGCAGCCACAGCUGAGACGAUGGUGUCACCCAUAAUAGCCCUUCUUUGGGAGUCUCUCAACAAACAUGACCCAGUACCCUCCAAACACAAGGCAUUGAGACUAGUACCAUACAGCUGACAAGGAAGACGAUGGGUGACAGCUUCUGUCUCUGACAAUAUUCGUGCCUGUUUCUUUCCGAAGGUGUCUUCAAGCCUUAAUGUUCACCUGCAAAAGCAUGGGCAAAACAGAUUUCCCACAAGUUUCAAGUCAAGAUGAUACCAGAAGUGCCCUGCUCUGGAUUUUGAAGUACUGUGGAGCUGGGCUUCAUCCUUGGAUUUGCUCAGCCUCUUUCUUCAGAGAGAAAGCCUCAUCAUAAAAAACACCCACCCCUCACCAUAUGACACACCCACCCCUUACCAUGUAACACACCCACCCCUCACCAUACAGCAACUUACCCAUUUGACAAGUCUUUUCCUUCAGAGAGAAAGUCCUACCAUACGGGGCCCUCACCUCUUUGACUCAAGGCACAGUUUUGUCCAAACUUCUGAUAUUGAUCCAACAUAAUCUAUCAAUGUACAACAGCUGUGUUGGGAUGCGCGUGACCCAUGAGCUGCAGGUUAGACACACCUGCAAGAAUGUGUGCAUGUUGUGGCACUAAGCAGAUAAGUCCUUUUCUUCUU
Long non-coding RNA from Arvicola amphibius (Eurasian water vole), 735 nucleotides. RefSeq lists it as uncharacterized. Lineage: Eukaryota; Metazoa; Chordata; Mammalia; Rodentia; Cricetidae. The record is from RefSeq and is a predicted model, not a curated record. The transcript has 3 exons.